Molecule: ribosomal RNA, 443 nt
Filed under: uncultured bacterium
Lineage: Bacteria
Description: partial 16S ribosomal RNA
Rfam family: Bacterial small subunit ribosomal RNA
Source: RNAcentral
CCUACGGGGGGCAGCAGUGGGGAAUAUUGGGCAAUGGGCGCAAGCCUGACCCAGCAACGCCGCGUGAAGGAAGAAGGCUUUCGGGUUGUAAACCUCUUUUGUCAGGGACGAAGCAAGUGACGGUACCUGACGAAUAAGCCACGGCUAACUACGUGCCAGCAGCCGCGGUAAUACGUAGGUGGCAAGCGUUAUCCGGAUUUAUUGGGUGGAAAGGGCGUGUAGGCGGGAAUGCAAGUCAGAUGUGAAAACUAUGGGCUCAACCCAUAGACUGCAUUUGAAACUGUAUUUCUUGAGUGCUGGAGAGGCGAUCGGAAUUCCGUGUGUAGCGGUGAAAUGCGUAGAUAUACGGAGGAACACCAGUGGCGAAGGCGGAUUGCUGGACAGUAACUGACGCUGAGGCGCGAAAGCGUGGGGAGCAAACAGGAUUAGAUACCCUAGUAGUC